UACGAAGGGGGCUAGCGUUGCUCGGAAUCACUGGGCGUAAAGCGCACGUAGGCCGAUUGUUAAGUCAGGGGUGAAAUCCUGGAGCUCAACUCCAGAACUGCCUUUGAUACUGGCAACCUAGAGACUGGAAGAGGUUAGUGGAAUUCCCAGUGUAGAGGUGAAAUUCGUAGAUAUUGGGAAGAACACCAGUGGCGAAGGCGGCAUCCUGGACCGGUAUUGACGCUGAGGCGCGAAAGCUAGGGUAGCAAACGGG
RNAcentral lists this ribosomal RNA (253 nucleotides) under uncultured bacterium. RNAcentral's name for it is "partial 16S ribosomal RNA". It matches the Rfam family "Bacterial small subunit ribosomal RNA", at positions 524 to 776 of the family's 1533-position model. The record is from RNAcentral.